UCCUUGGUAGUCUAGUACUAAGACACUGUUCUACCAAUGCAGGGGGCCCAGGUUCGAUCUCUAGUCAGGGAA
RNAcentral lists this transfer RNA (72 nucleotides) under Bos taurus (domestic cattle). It matches the Rfam family "tRNA". From Rfam's summary of the family: Transfer RNA (tRNA) molecules are approximately 80 nucleotides in length. Their secondary structure includes four short double-helical elements and three loops (D, anti-codon, and T loops). RNAcentral also lists the same sequence under 2 other names. Lineage: Eukaryota; Metazoa; Chordata; Mammalia; Artiodactyla; Bovidae. The record is from Rfam by way of RNAcentral.